This is a long non-coding RNA of Notolabrus celidotus (New Zealand spotty), 853 nucleotides long. RefSeq lists it as uncharacterized. Lineage: Eukaryota; Metazoa; Chordata; Actinopteri; Labriformes; Labridae. The record is from RefSeq and is a predicted model, not a curated record. The transcript has 2 exons.
UAAGUUUUUUCUCUCAGACCCGUCAGUUAUUUAGAUUCUUCCUCCUCCCCCUUCCUCCUCCUCUCUCCCCCUCUCUCCCCAUCUCCAAGGGGAGCAGUGAAAAUGACAACGUUUCAUCACUUGCUGUUUGAGGAGCUGUUUUGGGAGCUGUCUGCUCCUUCAUGCAGCUGUAAAAGCUACAGAGAAGGAGUGUAAUUGUCUCUAUGUCAGGACAAGAAAGCAUGCCAGGAAGAUAUCACCUGCAGGUAGCAUUGGGAGUCCCUGGGAGGUUCUGCUUCCACCAUCUUUGCUGAGAAAACUACAAGCUGAACAUUUUACCUCUGCUACAUGAACCAGGAUUAGACCUCCUGUGUUUUUAGGGCAGAAAAGCAUCCUGAGAGGCAUGUUUGACAUGUUUAUGCCUUAUUAAUGAAAUGCAUGAAUAGUAAAUGCAGUUUUAUGCAUCUAUCCUAAAGCUCAGUUUGAAGCACAAACAUGUUCAGGACAUGUUCUGGGACCUGGGUCAUAAAGUAGGUUUACUUUGUGUACAAUGUUUACUUUACUGUUACAGCUCUACCAACUCUUGCCUGCUGUUAUUACAGAGUGCAGAAAAUAUGACAAGAAAAGCCAAUCCAUCUCAUGGCAAUUAUACUUCCUCACUUUUUCAGAGUUGGAUGAAAAGAGCAAUAUGAUAAACAGCAGGCCAUGAUCAAAAAUAAAGUGACACACCUUAACUGGCUUUGUCCAAAUCAAGACUAGUUCCUGAUAUAUUUAGAACUCAUUUGUUAAGGUUUAAUGAAAACUUAAGCCACAAAAAACAUCAGGUCAUGUUUAACUGAUGGCUGUAUACAGAAUAAACCUUAACUCAAAAAAG